RNAcentral lists this long non-coding RNA (1267 nucleotides) under Sus scrofa (pig). Its description in RNAcentral is "lncRNA (ENSSSCG00000039883.3)". The record is from RNAcentral. Lineage: Eukaryota; Metazoa; Chordata; Mammalia; Artiodactyla; Suidae.
GAGCCAUUAGCCCUAAGGGAUACGGAUGAAGUAGAUCCAACCAUCCCACUGCUUGAUGAAGAAGCACAGAACUUUGAAUUCAAGGCUGCCUUUAUCUAGAUCCCUGACUGACCUGCACUGAGGAGAAAGCAGUUCCAGCUUUGGAAACUGGGGCACUGGGGGAGCCAGGUUCAGGGACAGAGAAUUUGAGCAGUGUCCUGGUAACAGCCUGCAUGGAAGCAGAGGUCAGUUCCUGAGAAGCUCUGCCUGCGUACCUCCUCAGUUUGGGGGAAGGAGGAGCCCCGACCUGGUCAAAAUCAGCCUUCCUUCCCCAGAGCGCCUGUGACCUGAGACCAGGCAAGAACCACGACUGACCACAGGGGAGAAUCCAGUCACUUUCGUUACACUGUGCUCCUGUUCCCUUGGGAAGCCAGCCCCACACUCCUGUAGACUCUCUCUCAUCCCCUAGAUGAGCCUUUUCGUCUACCCCUUGGACAUUCUGACCUCGUACACACCUCGAAGUGUACCGGUAACUCUGCUCUAAUAUGUCAAGUUCUGAAAACAUUUCCACUCUUCUGGCCAAGGAGGCUCAGCCAGUUGUGGGGUGAAAUUUGGGAAGCCUGGAUUGGGAAGUGAAGAUCACCUUGUUCUGUGGAAAGUGAAAGAGGAAUUGAAGCGAGGAAGCUAACGCUCUUCCUUUGGUUCCAGCGCAUCAACCUUCACCUCUCCCCGCAGCACCGCGAUCACCAGCCAUCAAGGCCACCUUGCCCGGUGCCUUUUUUUUUAAAUAUGGCUUUAAAUGCUUCAUCGUGGUUAGAAGACAACAUAGAGAAGCAUUAACAAAAUGAUGGGGAAGACACAAAAUAGAAGAACAGAGAAAGAAGAAAGAGGAAGUAGAAUUCAGGAGGAGAAAAAAUCAUGACAUUGGUUUAUUGAAAACUGAACAGAAGGCAAAAUUGCACCCAGCCACCUCCAGCCCAGCAGGCUUGUCAAAACCAACUCAGACACAGGGGGACUCUUACCUAUUUGUCUCUGGAUCUUCAGAAUGGAGUCAGGAGAGGUGGCAUUUGGAGGCAGCGGAGCUGUGCUGGUUACCUUCGUUUCCCCCUCUGCAUCUACAGAGGUGUUUUGCACAUAAAAGGAUUUCAACAGAGUGAAAUGAUCACUAACUUUUAAGUUAUAUCUACUCUUGCAAAGUGAAAUGUGGAGUUCAGAUGUCUGGGGGGAUAAAAAGGUGUUAAAAAAAGACCCAAAUGGUCCACAUGAAUAAAAGAUGAUACAUUUGGGC